RNAcentral lists this ribosomal RNA (253 nucleotides) under uncultured bacterium. Its description in RNAcentral is "partial 16S ribosomal RNA". It matches the Rfam family "Bacterial small subunit ribosomal RNA", at positions 524 to 776 of the family's 1533-position model. The record is from RNAcentral.
GACAGAGGGGGCAAGCGUUGCUCGGAAUUACUGGGCGUAAAGGGCGCGUAGGCGGGAUGGCAAGUCGGUCGUGAAAUCCCUCGGCUCAACCGAGGAACGUCGAUCGAUACUGCUGUUCUUGAGGAUUGCAGAGGAGACUGGAAUUCCCGGUGUAGCGGUGAAAUGUGUAGAGAUGUGGAGGAAUACCGAUGGCGAAGGCAGCCUCCUGGGCCAACACUGACGCUCAUGCACGAAAGCGUGGGGAGCAAACAGG